CUGCUGCCUUCCGUAGGAGUCUGGGCCGUGUCUCAGUCCCAAUGUGGCCGUUCAACCUCUCAGUCCGGCUACUGAUCGUCGCCUUGGUGGGCCUUUACCCCGCCAACUAGCUAAUCAGCCGCGAGCUCAUCUUUGGGCGAUAAAUCUUUGGUAUGCCUUCCCAUGCGAAAACCAUACAAUUAUGCGGUAUUAGCGUCCGUUUCCAGACGUUAUCCCCCUCCCAAAGGCAGAUUGCUCACGUGUUACUCACCCGUCG
RNAcentral lists this ribosomal RNA (256 nucleotides) under uncultured bacterium. RNAcentral describes it as "partial 16S ribosomal RNA". The record is from RNAcentral.